CUGGAAUUGGCAAAAAGAUUGGUGACAACUUUCCCUUUGUACUUGACCCUAAAAUUCCAGGAAAUUUCUCAAUAUUGUGUCAUCAGACACAAUAUUGUGUCAUUCCUCUAGAUAGCAUUAUCUUGGCUUCCAGUCAGGGUUUUAAUAGUUUUGCAAUUUUCAUUAGUUUUUAUUUUUAUUUAGUUUUGACUUCAGAUUUUCAAUUUUAUAUCAGUUUUAAUUAGUUUUUACCAAUUGUUUGCUACUUUAGUUUAGUUUUUAUUUUUUUGAAAAUCCUUAGUUUCGAUUUAUUUUAGCUGUGUUUGCAAUAAUUAAGUGUAACAAAAGGUCAACAGGUCGCCUGUCUGUCGCAGGGCUAACACGCAGAGACAGACAACUCACAUUUCCACCUAUGGGUUCUCAGUGUUGGGGAGUAACGGAAUACAUGUACCGCCAUUACGUAUUUAGAAUACAAAAUAUGAGUAACUGUAUUCCGUUACAGUUACCGUUUAAAAAGGUGGUAUUCAGAAUACAGUUACUUUGUUGAAAUAAAUGGAUUACACUGCGGUACUUUCCUGUUUCAUGUUGUCGCGGGUCAGGACUGUUUGGGUUUUGUUUGACAGCUACGUGCUGUUGUUCCAGGCGGCAGCGUUACGGUUGCCAUGGUUACAGGGUGACUCUCUCUCUGUGUGUUUCCUGGGUGAGAGAGCGCCUUUUCGUUGUUGUUGUGCUAAGCUAACAGGCAGAAUGCUACAAGCAUAGCUCUAAAGAAUGUAGCAUCAUGGGCAGUGUAGUCCGUGUUGCAGGGAGAAUGGACUGCCAUACACGUUAUGGGUCUGUGAGCGAGGGAGGGAAAAAAAGGAAAAGUACGAGUUGUCAUCGAGGAAAAACGGGAGCUGGAAGCAUGUAAAUAUAAUAAUAACCACUGCAGCCAAGAAGAGUGCCUGACGAGCCCAGUUGUAAGUAAGCUAUUAAGACUCGACUGUACACCGUGUUCGUGUUUUCCUCCGAAAACAAUAAGUUCCGUUGGAGCAGCCUUUCAACGCCUCUCUCUGUCUCUCGCAAG
Astatotilapia calliptera (eastern happy) is the source of this 1045-nucleotide long non-coding RNA. Lineage: Eukaryota; Metazoa; Chordata; Actinopteri; Cichliformes; Cichlidae. The record is from Ensembl.